UGGAUGGGAUUUAGGGCCAGUUCAAUAUGAACUCUUUACAUCUGACGGGCAACAUGCAGUGAGUGAGUACUCCCUAGAUGAUAGCGAUCAAGAUGAUACAAGUGCGAAUUUAAAGCGUGGCGACUGGAUAGAAUACAAGGUGGGUGAAUUUAUAGUAAGUAGGUCCGACCCUGCUACUGAAGUUAGAUUUUCAAUGAAACAG
This 202-nucleotide unclassified non-coding RNA is filed under the name Hevea brasiliensis (rubber tree). The record is from RNAcentral. Lineage: Eukaryota; Viridiplantae; Streptophyta; Magnoliopsida; Malpighiales; Euphorbiaceae.